This 760-nucleotide ribosomal RNA is filed under the name uncultured bacterium. RNAcentral's name for it is "partial 16S ribosomal RNA". The record is from RNAcentral.
GAGCUUCAGCGUCAGUUGCGCUCCCGCCGGCUGCCUUCGCAAUCGGGGUUCUUCGUCAUAUCUAAGCAUUUCACCGCUACACGACGAAUUCCGCCGGCGUUGCGCGUACUCAAGGGAACCAGUAUGCGCUGCAAGUCAGACGUUGGGCGCCUACAUUUCACAACACACUUAAUCCCCGGCCUACGCUCCCUUUAAACCCAAUAAAUCCGGAUAACGCCCGGACCUUCCGUAUUACCGCGGCUGCUGGCACGGAAUUAGCCGGUCCUUAUUCAUGCGGUACCUGCAAAAAGGGACGCGUCCCUCACUUUAUCCCCGCAUAAAAGCAGUUUACAACCCGUAGGGCCGUCCUCCUGCACGCUACUUGGCUGGUUCAGGCUUCCGCCCAUUGACCAAUAUUCCUCACUGCUGCCUCCCGUAGGAGUUUGGACCGUGUCUCAGUUCCAAUGUGGGGGACCUUCCUCUCAGAACCCCUACUGAUCGUCGCCUUGGUGGGCCGUCGCCCCGCCAACUAGCUAAUCAGACGCAUCCCCCUCCGUUACCGAUAAAUCUUUACUUCAUAUCUGAUGCCGUCAACGAAGACUAUGCGGUAUUAGUCUGCCUUUCGGCAGGUUAUCCCACAGUAAUGGGAAGGUUGGAUACGCGUUACUCACCCGUGCGCCGGUCGACGUCCAAAGAGUGCAAGCACUCAAUGCCGUUUCCCCUCGACUUGCAUGUGUUAAGCCUGUAGCUAGCGUUCAUCCUGAGCCAGGAUCAAACCCUG